GACGAACGCUGGCGGCAUGCUUAACACAUGCAAGUCGAACGGAAAGGCCCUGCUUUUGUGGGGUGCUCGAGUGGCGAACGGGUGAGUAACACGUGAGUAACCUGCCCUUGACUUUGGGAUAACUUCAGGAAACUGGGGCUAAUACCGGAUAGGAGCUCCUGCUGCAUGGUGGGGGUUGGAAAGUUUCGGCGGUUGGGGAUGGACGCGCGGCUUAUCAGCUUGUUGGUGGGGGAGUGGCUUACCAAGGCUUUGACGGGUAGCCGGCCUGGGAGGGUGACCGGGCACAGUGGGCCAGGGGUGCGACCAGGAGGGAAUAGGGAGGAAGGGGCGGGAACUUUAGGAAGAUGGGCGGAGGCUAGGUGGAGCGACGCCGGGUGCGGGAGGACGGCCUUCGGGUUGUAAGCCGCUUAAGCCUGUAACGAAGCGUAAGGACCGGUACUGGAGAAAGAAGCACGGCCAACUUAGGG
Molecule: ribosomal RNA, 467 nt
Filed under: uncultured bacterium
Lineage: Bacteria
Description: partial 16S ribosomal RNA
Rfam family: Bacterial small subunit ribosomal RNA
Source: RNAcentral